This 374-nucleotide ribosomal RNA is filed under the name uncultured bacterium. Its description in RNAcentral is "bacterial SSU rRNA". It matches the Rfam family "Bacterial small subunit ribosomal RNA", at positions 366 to 758 of the family's 1533-position model. The record is from RNAcentral.
CGACAGAGGGCGCAAGCCAGCUCUAGCCCUGCCGCGUGAGCGAUGAAGGCCUUAGGGUUGUAAAGCUCUUUAGGGGGGAAGAUAAUGACUGUACCCCCAGAAGAAGCCCCGGCUAACUCCGUGCCAGCAGCCGCGGUAAUACGGAGGGGGCUAGCGUUGUUCGGAAUUACUGGGCGUAAAGCGCACGUAGGCGGACGGAGAAGUCAGAGGUGAAAUCCCAGGGCUCAACCUUGGAACUGCCUUUGAAACUUUCUGUCUUGAGGUCGAGAGAGGUGAGUGGAAUUCCGAGUGUAGAGGUGAAAUUCGUAGAUAUUCGGAGGAACACCAGUGGCGAAGGCGGCUCACUGGCUCGAUACUGACGCUGAGGUGCGAAA